RNAcentral lists this transfer RNA (74 nucleotides) under Candidatus Woesearchaeota archaeon. RNAcentral describes it as "tRNA-Ala". It matches the Rfam family "tRNA". From Rfam's summary of the family: Transfer RNA (tRNA) molecules are approximately 80 nucleotides in length. Lineage: Archaea; Nanobdellati; Candidatus Woesearchaeota. The record is from RNAcentral.
GGGCUGGUGGUGAAAUCCGGUAUCAUACACCCUUGGCUUGGGUGAGGCUGCGGGUUCAAAUCCCGCCCAGUCCA